Molecule: ribosomal RNA, 503 nt
Filed under: uncultured bacterium
Lineage: Bacteria
Description: partial 16S ribosomal RNA
Rfam family: Bacterial small subunit ribosomal RNA
Source: RNAcentral
ACUCAAAUGAAUUGACGGGGGUCCGCACAAGCGGUGGAACAUGUGGUUUAAUUCGACACUACGCGAGGAACCUUACCUAGGUUUGACAUGUUUAUGACCGCUCCAGAAACGGAGCUUUCUCUGGGAAACCAGGGACAUAUUCACAGGUGCUGCAUGGCUGUCGUCAGCUCGUGUCGUGAGAUGUUGGGUUAAGUCCUAUAACGAGCGCAACCCCUACUAUCAGUUGCUACUUCGUAAGAAGGCACUCUGAUGGGACUGCCUGGGAAACCAGGAGGAAGGUGGGGAUGAUGUCAAGUCCGCAUGGUCCUUAUGCCUAGGGCAACACACGUGUUACAAUGGCCAGUACAAAGGGCUGCAAACCCGCAAGGGGAAGCCAAUCCCAUAAAGCUGGUCUAAGUUCGGAUUGAGGUCUGCAACUCGACCUCAUGAAGUUGAAAUCGCUAGUAAUCGCGUAUCAGAACGACGCGGUGAAUACGUUCUCGGACCUUGUACACACCGCCCGU